UACGAAGGUGGCGAGCGUUACUCGGAAUUACUAGGCGUAAAGGGCAGGUAGGCGGUUUAAUAAGUCUGUUGUGUAAGCUUCUGGCUUAACUGGGAGAGGUCAACAGAUACUAUUGAACUAGAGUAUGAGAGAGGGUACUGGAAUUCCCGGUGUAGCGGUGAAAUGCGCAGAUAUCGGGAGGAAUACCAAUGGCGAAAGCAGGUACCUAGACCAUUACUGACGCUCAGCUGCGAAAGCUAGGGGAGCAAACAGG
This 253-nucleotide unclassified non-coding RNA is filed under the name uncultured Elusimicrobia bacterium. Its description in RNAcentral is "contains 16S-23S intergenic spacer region". It matches the Rfam family "Bacterial small subunit ribosomal RNA", at positions 524 to 776 of the family's 1533-position model. The record is from RNAcentral. Lineage: Bacteria; Pseudomonadati; Elusimicrobiota; Elusimicrobia.